CCUACGGGGUGCAGCAGUGGGGAAUAUUGCACAAUGGGCGCAAGCCUGAUGCAGCCAUGCCGCGUGUAUGAAGAAGGCCUUCGGGUUGUAAAGUACUUUCAGCGGGGAUGAAGGGAGUAAAGUUAAUACCUUUGCUCAUUGACGUUACCCGCAGAAGAAGCACCGGCUAACUCUGUGCCAGCAGCCGCGGUAAUACAGAGGAUGCAAGCGUUAUCCGGAAUGAUUGGGCGUAAAGCGUCUGUAGGUGGCUUUUUAAGUCCGCCGUCAAAUCCCAGGGCUCAGCCCUGGACAGGCGGUGGAAACUACCAAGCUGGGGUACGGUAGGGGCAGAGGGAAUUUCCGGUGGAGCGGUGAAAUGCGUAGAGAUCGGAAAGAACACCAACGGCGAAAGCACUCUGCUGGGCCGACACUGACACUGAGAGACGAAAGCUAGGGGAGCGAAUGGGAUUAGAUACCCGGGUAGUC
This 465-nucleotide ribosomal RNA is filed under the name uncultured bacterium. Its description in RNAcentral is "bacterial SSU rRNA". It matches the Rfam family "Bacterial small subunit ribosomal RNA", at positions 338 to 795 of the family's 1533-position model. The record is from RNAcentral.